UGAGUACUAUAUAAUAGUUAAAACUUUCAACAACGGAUCUCUUGGUUCUGGCAUCGAUGAAGAACGCAGCGAAAUGCGAUAAGUAAUGUGAAUUGCAGAAUUCAGUGAAUCAUCGAAUCUUUGAACGCACAUUGCGCCCCCUGGUAUUCCGGGGGGCAUGCCUGUCCGAGCGUCAUUACAACCCUCAAGCUCAGCUUGGUGUUGGGCCCCGCCGCCCCGGCGGGCCCUAAAGUCAGUGGCGGUGCCGUCCGGCUCCGAGCGUAGUAAUUCUUCUCGCUCUGGAGGUCCGGUCGUGUGCUCGCCAGCAACCCCCAAUUUUUUUCAGGUUGACCUCGGAUCAGGUAGGGAUACCCGCUGAACUUAAGCAUAUCAAUAAGCGGAGGAAAAGAAACCAACAGGGAUUACCUCAGUAACGGCGAGUGAAGCGGUAACAGCUCAAAUUUGAAAUCUGGCCUCACGGUCCGAGUUGUAAUUUGUAGAGGAUGCUUCGAGCAUGGUCUGGCCUAAGUUCCUUGGAACAGGACGUCAUAGAGGGUGAGAAUCCCGUAUGCGGCCAGGUGCCUACGCUCAUGUGAAGCUCCUUCGACGAGUCGAGUUGUUUGGGAAUGCAGCUCAAAAUGGGUGGUAAAUUUCAUCUAAAGCUAAAUAUUGGCCAGAGACCGAUAGCGCACAAGUAGAGUGAUCGAAAGAUGAAAAGCACUUUGGAAAGAGAGUUAAACAGUACGUGAAAUUGUUGAAAGGGAAGCGCUUGCAACCAGACUUGCGCGCGGCCGAUCAUCCGGUGUUCUCACCGGUGCACUCGGCCGUGCUCAGGCCAGCAUCGGUUUUGGCGGCUGGAUAAAGGCCCUAGGAAUGUAGCUCCUCUCGGGGAGUGUUAUAGCCUAGGGUGCAAUGCAGCCUGCUGGGACCGAGGACCGCGCUCGGCUAGGA
RNAcentral lists this ribosomal RNA (930 nucleotides) under Pseudogymnoascus pannorum. RNAcentral describes it as "partial 28S ribosomal RNA". The stretch from base 328 to 930 matches the Rfam family "Eukaryotic large subunit ribosomal RNA", at positions 1 to 610 of the family's 3401-position model. Lineage: Eukaryota; Fungi; Ascomycota; Leotiomycetes; Thelebolales; Thelebolaceae. The record is from RNAcentral.